Molecule: long non-coding RNA, 1015 nt
Organism: Bubalus bubalis (water buffalo)
Lineage: Eukaryota; Metazoa; Chordata; Mammalia; Artiodactyla; Bovidae
Exons: 3
Source: RefSeq, a predicted model, not a curated record
CUCCAGGGGAUCUUUCUGACCCAGAGCUAGACCUGCGUCUCUUGCAUCUCCUGCAUUGCUUGAAGAUGGCAGAUUGUGGGACUUCUCUGUUUCCACAACCAUGGUAGGGGGCUGAAAAGAUAGUCAAGAUAAAUGGUUCAGCAUAAUCUUCAUCCACAUAUAAGAACAGACAACGAGUCUACUAAGCUAGCCUGACAUUAUUAGAAAAGUUUAACUAGUAUUUAUUGAGCAUGUACCCUGUGACUAUUUCUAUACAAAGAACUUGGGGUGGAGUUGUGAGUGAAACCAGACACUGUUUCUACACUCCUGAAGAUUAUUGCCCAGAGAAAGAGAUUAAAAUUGAGCCAAGUGUUCCACUCCGAAAAGAGGAAAAUGAACAAUCCAAAAAGGAAAUUAAGAAAACUGGCAAUCAUUUCUUGGCUAUGACACCAGAAGCACAGGCAACACAAAUAAAAGUAGAUAAACUGGACUACAUGGAUAAUUAAAAACUUCUGUGCAUCAAGAGACACAAUCAAAAGAGUGAAAAAGCAACCUAUAGAACAGGAGGGAAUAUUUGCAAUUUAUAUAUCUGAUAAGGAGUAAACACCCAGACUAUAUAAAGAACUCCUACAACUCAACAAGAAACUAAAUAACGUGAUCAAAAAACUGGCAAAGAACUUGAACAGACAUUUACCCGAAGAAGACAUACAAAUGACCAACAAGCACAUGAAGAAGUGCUCAAGGUCGCUAAUCUAAGGGAAAUGCAAAUCAAACCACAGUGAGAUACCACCUCAUACUCCUCAGGAUGGCGACUGUCAAAAUCACAAAAACAAAAAUAACAAGCAUUGGCAAGGAUGUAGAAAAACUGGUACCUAAUGUAGUCAAAUUCAUAGAGAAAACAAGAAGAGUGACUGCCAAGGGCUGAGGAAGGGAAGAAAUGGGAGUUGAUGGGCAAAGAGUUUUCGUUUUUUAAAAGAUUGUUUUGAUGUGGACUGGUUUUAAAGACUUCACUGAAUUUAUUACAGUAUUGCUUCUG